Molecule: ribosomal RNA, 279 nt
Filed under: Excidobates mysteriosus (maranon poison frog)
Lineage: Eukaryota; Metazoa; Chordata; Amphibia; Anura; Dendrobatidae
Description: partial 12S ribosomal RNA
Rfam family: Bacterial small subunit ribosomal RNA
Source: RNAcentral
GGGAACUACGAGCCAAGCUUAAAACCCAAAGGACUUGACGGUACCCCAUAUCCACCUAGAGGAGCCUGUCCUAUAAUCGAUAACCCCCGUUUAACCUCACCAUCCCUAGUUUAUCAGCCUGUAUACCUCCGUCGUCAGCUUACCGCAUGAGCGUUAGUGGGCUCAAAGUUUUUUCAACUAUACGUCAGGUCAAGGUGCAACAUAUGGAAUGGAAAGAGAUGGGCUACACUUUCUACUAUUAGACCACACGAAAAACUACUUAUGAAACCUAGUUAGAAG